RNAcentral lists this ribosomal RNA (468 nucleotides) under uncultured bacterium. Its description in RNAcentral is "partial 16S ribosomal RNA". It matches the Rfam family "Bacterial small subunit ribosomal RNA", at positions 28 to 507 of the family's 1533-position model. The record is from RNAcentral.
GACGAACGCUGGCGGCGUGCUUAAUACAUGCCAGUUGAACGGUAAGGCCCGGUACUUGUGGGAUGCGGGUGUGGCGAACACGUGUGUGUCACGCGUGGAACCUGUCCCUUUCAGCGGGGUAACUCCAUGAAACAGGAGUGAUUAUCCGACAUAAACUCUUUCUACAUGGGUUUUAUGUGAAAGUUUUGGCGGUUGGGGAUUCACAGGCGGUUUAGCAGCUUGUUGGUGAGGUAGUGGCUUACCAAGGCUUUGACGGGUAGCCGGAUUGAGAGGGUGACAGGCCACAUUGGGACUGAGAUACGGCCCAGACUCCUACGGGAGGAAGCGGUGGGGAAUAUUGCACAAUGGGCGGAAGCCUGAUGCAGCAACGCCGCGUGCGAGAUGACGGCCUGCGGGUUGUAAACCGCUUUCGCCUGUGACGAAGCGUGAGUGACGGUAAUGGGUAAAGAAGCACCGGCUAACUACGUG